UCCUACGGGAGGCAGCAGUGAGGAAUAUUGGUCAAUGGUCGGGAGACUGAACCAGCCAAGCCGCGUGAGGGAUGAAGGUACAGAGUAUCGUAAACCUCUUUUGUCAGGGAACAAAGGCGGGGACGCGUCCCCGGAUGAGUGUACCUGAAGAAAAAGCAUCGGCUUACUCCGUGCCAGCAGCCGCGGUAAUACGGAGGAUGCGAGCGUUAUCCGGAUUUAUUGGGUUUAAAGGGUGCGCAGGCGGUCUGUUAAGUCAGCGGUCAAAGCCCGGGGCUCAACCCCGGCCCGCCGUUGAAACUGGCAGG
RNAcentral lists this ribosomal RNA (305 nucleotides) under uncultured bacterium. RNAcentral's name for it is "bacterial SSU rRNA". It matches the Rfam family "Bacterial small subunit ribosomal RNA", at positions 337 to 640 of the family's 1533-position model. The record is from RNAcentral.